UGGAGUCUCUCCCUCCUGGGGGUGGGGGUUAAAUGAGGUGCAGGGAGGGCCUGGGAGCGGGCUGGGCUGAGCGCUGCCCCCAGGCACGCUGUCGGUGCUGUUGUGAGGACCGUCUUCUGGGGCAGGGCUGGCA
MicroRNA precursor from Equus caballus (horse), 133 nucleotides. Lineage: Eukaryota; Metazoa; Chordata; Mammalia; Perissodactyla; Equidae. The record is from Ensembl.